CAAAAAAUCAAGACACUGCAUGUCAAAUUGCAUUGCCGUCUGCUACUCAUGUUCAAAGCGGUCAUAUAAUUCAUACUCAGGAUUCCAUUGCUUUAGCAUCGACAAUGGCUCAACCCUUGGAUGGUCACCAUGAAACUAUUCUUUUUCAGGCUCCUUUGUCGAUUGAUCCAAUAAAUGAGUUAUCCAUAUUGGUAAGCCAACAAAAAUAUGAAGAUGCUUUCACUACAACCAUACGUAGAGGUGAUAUGUCACUUUUGAGUUGGCUAUGCUAUAAGG
This is a long non-coding RNA of Alnus glutinosa, 276 nucleotides long. RefSeq lists it as uncharacterized. The record is from RefSeq and is a predicted model, not a curated record. NCBI's taxonomy places the organism in Eukaryota, Viridiplantae, Streptophyta, Magnoliopsida, Fagales, Betulaceae. The transcript is spliced from 3 exons.